AGAGUUUGAUCCUGGCUCAGGAUGAACGCUGGCGGUAUGCUUAACACAUGCAAGUCGAACGGAAUCCUUAGGGAUUUAGUGGCGGACGGGUGAGUAACGCGUGAGAAUCUGGCUUCAGGUCGGGGACAACAGUUGGAAACGACUGCUAAUACCGGAUAUGCCGAGAGGUAAAAGGUUAACUGCCUGGAGAUGAGCUCGCGUCUGAUUAGCUAGUUGGUGGGGUAAGAGCCUACCAAGGCGACGAUCAGUAGCUGUCUGAGAGGAUGAUCAGCCACACUGGGACUGAGACACGGCCCAGACUCCUACGGGAGGCAGCAGUGGGGAAUUUUCCGCAAUGGGCGAAAGCCUGACGGAGCAAUACCGCGUGAGGGAGGAAGGCUCUUGGGUCGUAAACCUCUUUUCUCAGGGAAGAAAAAAAUGACGGUACCUGAGGAAUAAGCAUCGGCUAACUCCGUGCCAGCAGCCGCGGUAAUACGGAGGAUGCAAGCGUUAUCCGGAAUGAUUGGGCGUAAAGGGUCCGCAGGUGGCUAUGUAAGUCUGCUGUUAAAGAGUCAUGCUUAACAUGAUAAGAGCAGUGGAAACUACAUAGCUAGAGUGCGUUCGGGGCAGAGGGAAUUCCUGGUGUAGCGGUGAAAUGCGUAGAUAUCAGGAAGAACACCGGUGGCGAAGGCGCUCUGCUAGGCCGCAACUGACACUGAGGGACGAAAGCUAGGGGAGCGAAUGGGAUUAGAUACCCCAGUAGUCCUAGCCGUAAACGAUGGAUACUAGGCGUGGCUUGUAUCGACCCGAGCCGUGCCGAAGC
Molecule: ribosomal RNA, 802 nt
Filed under: uncultured Antarctic cyanobacterium
Lineage: Bacteria; Bacillati; Cyanobacteriota
Description: bacterial SSU rRNA
Rfam family: Bacterial small subunit ribosomal RNA
Source: RNAcentral